Molecule: non-coding RNA, 235 nt
Filed under: Agrobacterium tumefaciens str. CFBP 5621
Lineage: Bacteria; Pseudomonadati; Pseudomonadota; Alphaproteobacteria; Hyphomicrobiales; Rhizobiaceae
Also listed under: 2 other names
Source: RNAcentral
GGAUAACAAUCCUGUGAUGGUUCCUUCCGGGCGUUCCGGAAGGUGAAAAGGGAACACGAUAGGGAGAAAUCCUCAUUCGUGGCUGCCCCCGCAACUGUGAGCGGAGAGCCUGAAACGAAGUGCCACUGGCAAGCCAUUUUCCGGGAACCGAGGUUUCCAGGGAGGGCGAUGCCGGGAAGGUGUUUCAGGUUUUGACCCGUAAGCCAGGAGACCUGCCAUCACGGAAAUGUCCAUG